AACGACUCUCGACAACGGAUAUCUCGGCUCUCGCAUCGAUGAAGAACGUAGCGAAAUGCGAUACUUGGUGUGAAUUGCAGAAUCCCGUGAACCAUCGAGUCUUUGAACGCAAGUUGCGCCAGAAGCCACUAGGCCGAGGGCACGUCUGCCUGGGUGUCACGC
RNAcentral lists this ribosomal RNA (162 nucleotides) under Dichoropetalum paucijugum. RNAcentral's name for it is "5.8S ribosomal RNA". It matches the Rfam family "5.8S ribosomal RNA". Rfam says of the family: 5.8S ribosomal RNA (5.8S rRNA) is a component of the large subunit of the eukaryotic ribosome. It is transcribed by RNA polymerase I as part of the 45S precursor that also contains 18S and 28S rRNA. Lineage: Eukaryota; Viridiplantae; Streptophyta; Magnoliopsida; Apiales; Apiaceae. The record is from RNAcentral.